GAAGCCUGGCUGCCCCCACGACCAGUGUCCACACAGAAGUCUAGGAAGAAAAGGUGGAGGCCCAGCACUGACGUACAGAAGGAGGGCCAGGCCAGGGAAAACCUGAAAAGAUGCAUCACGUUCAUCAGGUGACCCCUCUGACGAAAGGGGUGUUACGACUGUUGAAACAUCUGAGUUUUUGGGAUUGCUGGAUGAAGGAAAAUCGCAAGGACCCCUCAUACUGCAAGACGCAUCUCAUGUAUGGACAACUUGCCAAUAACCAUCAUUCAUAUGGACUGUUGGGAAAAGACUAUUCUUCUAACCUACAACAAUAUCUGCAGCUAGUACUAUGCUACUUUUUAGCACAUGCCUGACUGCCUGCAGUGUUUUGCUUCUCAGCAGAAGAAUGUGUGGAAAAGAUUCCUGAGGACAUCAGUCAUUAAAGGACUCAAAAUCUUGAAUGGACGAACCUCUGUCACAUCUGCCUGCGCUCUCCAGCUAGGUUUGAUUUAACUUGUCCCAAGGGUCUGCGUUACACUUUUAUUUUUAUGCAUUUAGAUACUCUGAAAAUCUGAAAAAGACUUUGCACACUCUUUGGAAAACUGCAAAGUGCAGAAUAAUGGUAGUCCUUGGCAUUGGAUUUUAGUUCAUUUACUCAUAUAAAAACAAACAUCUGAAACUUUCGUCAGCCCCCAGCAUAUUCCAAAAUUAUAUUUUGAGGUUUUCAACAAAAUGGGAAAAGCACUUCCUCUGUGGUUUUUGAGGAGUUUUGGGCUGGUGUGAGAGCACCCUAAGAAGGUUUUUGAUUGGCUGAGGAUAUAGCUGAUACUAUUUGAAAAUGUAGCCUUGUUUGGAAAGUAGAAUCAAAAAGAAAAGAAAAAUACUAGGUGCUAGGUUGU
RNAcentral lists this long non-coding RNA (878 nucleotides) under Neogobius melanostomus (round goby). Its description in RNAcentral is "lncRNA (ENSNMLG00000001390.1)". The record is from RNAcentral. Lineage: Eukaryota; Metazoa; Chordata; Actinopteri; Gobiiformes; Gobiidae.